GGAGAUGACGGCGGGUCUAGCUCUUCUUUUCCGUUGAUUAACGAGUUAGCACUUGUGAAUAGUGAGAGUUUUAAGGUGUAUUGUAAAGGACUGAAGAGUAAAGAGAUGAUUAGGGAAAUGAAUGUUGUAGUAGGUGGGGUUGGUGUGGCAAUUUGUGAUUCGAGGGACAAUGUGAUUUUUGAGGUGAGUAAGGGUUUGGAGGAGGAUUCUUGUGGUAAAGGGAAAGACGUGAGUAGUGAAGAGGCGGUUCAGAUUGAGGCUUUGAUUGAAGGGUUGAAUGCGGCUUUGAGUUUGGAUUUGAAAAACGUCACCUUCUUUUGUGAUGACUUUAUGGUAUAUCAAUAUGUGACAGGAAGAGUUCAACCAAUUCAAAAUAGAAUUUCAACCUUAGUCAAUCAGGUGUCUCUUCUUCAGAAAAAGUUUACAGAUUGUAAGCCAUCCCUUGUUGCACGUAACGAUGUAAAGUUUGCCUUUAAACUGGCAAGAGAUGCUAUAGUUUCUCAGAUAACCUGGUCUACUGAAUCUGGCAAAGGCAAAAAGAGUUCGAAGGAGACUUGUGUAAUUUGCUUUGAGGAUACAGAUGUGGGUCAGAUGUUUUGUGUUGAUGGUUGUCUGCAUAGAUAUUGCUUUUCUUGUAUGAAACAACAUGUUGAAGUGAAGCUACUUAAUGGGAUGGAGGCUAGGUGUCCUCAUGAAGGCUGUAAAUCUGAAGUGAGUAUUGAUGCUUGUGAAAAAUUUCUAGAUCCAAAAUUAGUUGAGAUCAUGAUUCAAAGGAAAAAAGAAGCUUCUAUUGCAGUACCGGAGAAGGUGUAUUGUCCAUAUGUGAAAUGCUCAUCAUUAAUGUCAAAAAAUGAGGUCCUGGAAUACACCAAUGCUUUCGUUGUUGGUGCUGAAAAAUCUGGAGCUAGGAAAUGUGUGAAAUGCCAUUAUUUUUUCUGCAUCAACUGCAAGGUCCCAUGGCACAAUAAUUUGACUUGCUAUGAUUAUAAAAGAUCUAAACCUCAAUGUGCAGAAGAUGCAAUGCUCGAUUCCCUUGCCAAAAAGAAACUUUGGCGCCAAUGUGUGAACUGUAGCCAUAUGGUUGAACUUGCUGAAGGUUGCUACCACAUCACUUGCAGAUGUGGAUAUGAGUUCUGUUAUACUUGUGGAGCUCCAUGGAAGAAUAAGAAAGCAACUUGUGGCUGCCAAAUCUGGGAUGAGCGGAACAUUAUACGCAAUGGACAAAGGCAGUGAUCUACUGUUACCAUGCCUAUAAACUAAGAUUUAUGUGUAGCAGUCUAUCAACUCUUUUUCGCACCUUGUUUUUUUUACCUUGGAAAUAGGACUGGAAGAACUUUUUGGUUUUUUGCAUAUGUUUCCAGCGAACUGGAUGAAACAAUGUAGAUAUACUGCACAAGGAUACCAUAUUCACAAAACUUUUUGUUCAAUUUUAGCAUUCGGAGCUUUUCUACGCUUUGAUUUUUGUUUUGUCCUUUAUGUAAGUUGUGGACUUAUUUCUAGAGAUAUAAGGAAAACAUUGUAGAG
RNAcentral lists this unclassified non-coding RNA (1524 nucleotides) under Hevea brasiliensis (rubber tree). The record is from RNAcentral. Lineage: Eukaryota; Viridiplantae; Streptophyta; Magnoliopsida; Malpighiales; Euphorbiaceae.